Molecule: ribosomal RNA, 454 nt
Filed under: uncultured bacterium
Lineage: Bacteria
Description: bacterial SSU rRNA
Rfam family: Bacterial small subunit ribosomal RNA
Source: RNAcentral
UACGGGAGGCAGCAGUGGGGAAUAUUGCACAAUGGGCGCAAGCCUGAUGCAGCCAUGCCGCGUGUAUGAAAAAGGCCUUCGGGUUGUAAAGUACUUUCAGUCGUGAGGAAGGUGUUAAGGUUAAUAACCUUAGCAAUUGACGUUAGCGACAGAAGAAGCACCGGCUAACUCCGUGCCAGCAGCCGCGGUAAUACGGAGGGUGCGAGCGUUAAUCGGAAUUACUGGGCGUAAAGGGCACGCAGGCGGUUAAUUAAGUUGGAUGUGAAAUCCCCGGGCUUAACCUGGGAAUGGCAUUCAAGACUGGUUAGCUAGAGUCUUGUAGAGGGGGGUAGAAUUCCGAUGUGUAGCGGUGAAAUGCGUAGAGAUGUGGAGGAAUACCGGUGGCGAAGGCGGCCCCUGGACAAAGACUGACGCUCAUGUGCGAAAGCGUGGGGAGCAAACAGGGAUUAGAUAC